Varroa destructor (honeybee mite) is the source of this 387-nucleotide long non-coding RNA. RefSeq lists it as uncharacterized. The record is from RefSeq and is a predicted model, not a curated record. NCBI's taxonomy places the organism in Eukaryota, Metazoa, Arthropoda, Arachnida, Mesostigmata, Varroidae.
AUACUAAACCGUAACAAACGUUAAAUGAUAAUAGACUUGUUUUAAAUGAAGUAAAGGCUAAAUCGAAAGCCUACCACAAUGGCGCGACAUUGCCUGUGUUGUACAAUGAAAGCAAUUCUUAUUGGACUAGCUGUCGUAUGUGCAGCACCGCAACAAGAUACUUUGCAAGUGAAUGAUAUUGCGCGAAUGCCAAGCGUUUACCAACCACAACAACCCUAUGUGGACCCGUAUAUGCAACCAGUUUAUGUUCAGCCGCAACCCCCGCCAUCUCUCGCGCCUGCGCCUAUCGCAGGACCAUUAACAUUGCUUAGCCGGUUUUUUGGUGUAAGACGGAGAAGAUGAAUUCGGCAUUUUGAAAUAAAUAACCACUCAAGUCAUUCUUCCGUU